CCUACGGGAGGCAGCAGCAAGGAAUAUUGUGCAAUGGGCGAAAGCCUGACACAGCGACGCUGCGUGGGGGAAGAAGGCCUUCGGGUUGUAAACCCCUUUUCUCAGGGAAGAUGAUGACGGUACCUGAGGAAUAAGUCUCGGCCAACUACGUGCCAGCAGCCGCGGUAAUACGUAGGAGGCGAGUGUUAUCCGGAUUUACUGGGCGUAAAGAGGGCGUAGGCGGCUUGGCAAGUCGGAUGUGAAAUCUCCUGGCUUAACUGGGAGGGGUCAUUCGAUACUGUUGGGCUAGAGGGCAGCAGAGGGAGGUGGAAUUCCCGGUGUAGUGGUGAAAUGCGUAGAUAUCGGGAGGAACACCAGUGGCGAAGGCGGCCUCCUGGGCUGUUUCUGACGCUGAGGCUCUAAAGCGUGGGGAGCGAACAGGAUUAGAUCCCCCGGUAGU
Molecule: ribosomal RNA, 439 nt
Filed under: uncultured Dehalococcoidaceae bacterium
Lineage: Bacteria; Bacillati; Chloroflexota; Dehalococcoidia; Dehalococcoidales; Dehalococcoidaceae
Description: partial 16S ribosomal RNA
Rfam family: Bacterial small subunit ribosomal RNA
Source: RNAcentral